UCUAGAGGCUUCGGCAAUGGGGGCAACCCUGACCGAGCGACGCCGCGUGUGGGAUUGAAGGCCUUCGGGUCGUAAACCACUGUCAUUGGGAAAGAAUGCCUGAAUGGUGAAUUCAGGAGAGACGGUACCCAAGAAGGAAGCCCCGGCUAACUCCGUGCCAGCAGCCGCGGUAAUACGGAGGGGGCAAGCGUUGUUCGGAUUUACUGGGCGUAAAGGGUGUGUAGGCGGUUGCGUAAGUCUGGUGUGAAAUCUUCACCGCUUAACGGGAAGAGGUCACUGGAAACUGCGUAACUCGAGUAUGGUAGAGGCAAGCGGAAUUCCUGGUGUAGCGGUGGAAUGUGUAGAUAUCAGGAAGAACAUCUGUGGCGAAGGCGGCUUGCUGGGCCAUCACUGACGCUGAGACACGAAAGCGUGGGGAGCGAACG
This 425-nucleotide ribosomal RNA is filed under the name uncultured prokaryote. Its description in RNAcentral is "bacterial SSU rRNA". It matches the Rfam family "Bacterial small subunit ribosomal RNA", at positions 355 to 774 of the family's 1533-position model. The record is from RNAcentral.